UUGGUCUAAAAUCACCACUUUCUUCUUAACAUCUUGAACAUGUCCUUGACAAUAUUCUAGAGCUUCUCAAACUUAGAGUCUGCCUCCUAAUUUAAUGCAAUCCCUAAACAUCUUCUAUAGGCGAAAUAAGGUAGGCUCAACCUUACUCAACAAUCUUCCACUACAUGAUUUUAAAUGUAGUACUUCUAGUACUUAGUGUUCCUUCACACAGCGCAUGAAAUGCAACCAUAUAAUUUGAAGCACUCUUCCGUGUCAUUGCAAAAGACCUUCUGAAUCAUCACGCCUUCAAUAAGGAAAUAGAUUUUGCUCCUCUGAGCAUCUUUACAGGGUAUGCGUCACCAUACGUAAUCCUAAGUCAUGGAAUGACCUUAGUCAAUGCUCUCACUCCGGCUACUAAACUAAAUGCCUAAUCCAAGACGUUCUAACUGAGGCGAUGUCCUUGAUAGGUUAAGGUAUGUAUAUUUAUCUUGAGUAUAUCCUUAGGGUCU
This 488-nucleotide long non-coding RNA is filed under the name Salvia miltiorrhiza (redroot sage). Its description in RNAcentral is "long non-coding RNA (SMIL_LNC000150)". The record is from RNAcentral. Lineage: Eukaryota; Viridiplantae; Streptophyta; Magnoliopsida; Lamiales; Lamiaceae.